UUUUUUUUUUUUUUUUUUUUUUUUUUUUUUUUCA
This 34-nucleotide non-coding RNA is filed under the name Prorocentrum micans. The record is from RNAcentral. Lineage: Eukaryota; Dinophyceae; Prorocentrales; Prorocentraceae.